UGCCAGCUCAGUCUGGACCGUGAGCAGCAGCUUGUGCUGCAUGAGACCCCCCUCCAAAGCUUCGCAGCGGCAGCAAGCCAAGCCGAGGAGCGAGGAGCUCUGCCGCAUCCACCUCAAUCUCUCUCACCGAAUAACUGAUCAAGCCGCCGCCAACAGCAAAAGAGACGGCCGCCUCCGCCCAAGAGCCGCACAACACUUCGCCUCCUCCACCGCCGUCGCCCGGGCGCAAACGCGGCGAAUACCCUAGCUUUCACCGGCUCCACCAAAUCCCGAGAAUUCGCCCGCACCCGAGUUCCUUGGUCCGAAAUUGAGGUGACCAUCGUCUUCUACCCGCGAUAAAUCUCCUUUACCCUCUCUUUUUACUGGCAAGAUCACCGUAGCUCGCCGGAGCGACUCCCGCCCACCCGUUCCCCCGCCGCCGGGAAGGGAACGGUUGGAAUUUCACAGUUAAGAUGCAUAAAUGCAUUGUUAGAUAGAUUAACUCCAGGGGCAAAGCUUAGGAUAGUACUCUAUUACUUUAACUGGUGAUGCAUGUACUGAAAUUAUUCUGAAGACUGUCAAUGGCUCAAGUAGAAGUAGAGCUCCAAACCAAAGCCAAAAUCCGAAAACAAUGCCAAAACUCAGAGAGUAAAAUAAGAACUUAUCAAGUUCCUGAUGGUCUUCAUUUCUCAUCCAAUGUAGGUCCAUGGCAGGCUGUUCUCAAAGAGAAGCCACCUGAAAGCUCAAUGCAUAAUUAAGUCAAGGGACUCCCAAGAUAUAGUAAUUGCCAAUUCUUUCUGGAACACAUGCGUGAUAGAUUAUUCCCUGACAAGUUUAAAAACCAGAGGCCCUGAAGGUAUGUCAGCUAUUUUGGGGUUUCAAUGUAAAGUGAAAUGCUUUGUAAAUCAAUACCUGUCAUUAAACCAGCUGUUCUCUGUUUCUUCAGGUCCCUUCCAAUUACAUUUUUCUUACUCUUAAUACAAAGGAAGCACAUACUUCAUCAUCAGAAGGUUAAGGAAACACAGCUACAGAUAUUGGGCAGUAUU
Molecule: long non-coding RNA, 1025 nt
Filed under: Oryza sativa (Asian cultivated rice)
Lineage: Eukaryota; Viridiplantae; Streptophyta; Magnoliopsida; Poales; Poaceae
Description: long non-coding RNA (OSAT_LNC001866)
Source: RNAcentral